UUUCCGUAGGUGAACCUGCGGAAGGAUCAUUACCGAAUUUAGGUUCAACAGGCACUACCUACCUUACUGUGUUUCUGUUAGUUUCUUGCUUAGGCGGGCCCGGCUCGAUGAGCGUCCCCUGGAAGCCCGCCCCCUUCGCCGCGUGCCCGUCAUAAGCCCCCAUUAACUCUAAAUAAACCUUUCUUCUUAGCUAAAAAAAAAAAUUAAAAAAAACUUUCAACAACGGAUCUCUUGGUUCUGGCAACGAUGAAGAACGCAGAUGAUCGGAAGAGCCCACGU
RNAcentral lists this unclassified non-coding RNA (279 nucleotides) under plant metagenome. RNAcentral describes it as "partial contains small subunit ribosomal RNA, internal transcribed spacer 1, and 5.8S ribosomal RNA". The record is from RNAcentral.